This 433-nucleotide ribosomal RNA is filed under the name uncultured bacterium. RNAcentral's name for it is "bacterial SSU rRNA". It matches the Rfam family "Bacterial small subunit ribosomal RNA", at positions 959 to 1392 of the family's 1533-position model. The record is from RNAcentral.
ACGCGAAGAACCUUACCUGGUCUUGACAUCCACAGAACUUUCCAGAGAUGGAUUGGUGCCUUCGGGAACUGUGAGACAGGUGCUGCAUGGCUGUCGUCAGCUCGUGUUGUGAAAUGUUGGGUUAAGUCCUGCAACGAGCGCAACCCUUAUCCUUUGUUGCCAGCGGUCCGGCCGGGAACUCAAAGGAGACUGCCAGUGAUAAACUGGAGGAAGGUGGGGAUGACGUCAAGUCAUCAUGGCCCUUACGACCAGGGCUACACACGUGCUACAAUGGCGCAUACAAAGAGAAGCGACCUCGCGAGAGCAAGCGGACCUCAUAAAGUGCGUCGUAGUCCGGAUUGGAGUCUGCAACUCGACUCCAUGAAGUCGGAAUCGCUAGUAAUCGUGGAUCAGAAUGCCACGGUGAAUACGUUCCCGGGUCUUGUACACACCG